UGGGUCGGCAAGACGGUCGCGUCGCGUCGGGUCCGCCCGACGCGCCGAGGAACGUCCGGGCUCCACAGAGCAGGGCGGUGGGUAACACCCACCCGGGGCAACCCGCGAGACAGUGCAACAGAAAGCAGACCGCCGGCCCUCCUCGGAGGGCCGGUAAGGGUGAAACGGCGGUGUAAGAGACCACCAGCGGCCCGGGUGACCGGCCGGCUAGGUAAACCUCGCCCGGAGCAAGGUCAGACAGGGAACGUCGAGGCGGCUCGCCGAGUUCCCGGGUAGACCGCUAGAGCGGUGCGGCAACGUACCGCCGAGAUAGAUGGCCGUCCAUGCCGUGCUCGCACGGCAAGACAGAACCCGGCGUAGCAGCCGGCCCAUUCG
This 375-nucleotide RNase P RNA is filed under the name Frondihabitans australicus. RNAcentral describes it as "Bacterial RNase P class A". It matches the Rfam family "Bacterial RNase P class A". Rfam says of the family: Ribonuclease P (RNase P) is a ubiquitous endoribonuclease, found in archaea, bacteria and eukarya as well as chloroplasts and mitochondria. Its best characterised activity is the generation of mature 5'-ends of tRNAs by cleaving the 5'-leader elements of precursor-tRNAs. Cellular RNase Ps are ribonucleoproteins. Lineage: Bacteria; Bacillati; Actinomycetota; Actinomycetes; Micrococcales; Microbacteriaceae. The record is from Rfam by way of RNAcentral.